GAAAAUGAUGAGUAGUGACUGAUG
Molecule: microRNA, 24 nt
Filed under: Homo sapiens (human)
Lineage: Eukaryota; Metazoa; Chordata; Mammalia; Primates; Hominidae
Description: hsa-miR-3662
Source: miRBase by way of RNAcentral